This 776-nucleotide ribosomal RNA is filed under the name uncultured Neocallimastigales. RNAcentral's name for it is "partial large subunit ribosomal RNA". It matches the Rfam family "Eukaryotic large subunit ribosomal RNA", at positions 20 to 645 of the family's 3401-position model. Lineage: Eukaryota; Fungi; Neocallimastigomycota; Neocallimastigomycetes; Neocallimastigales. The record is from RNAcentral.
UACUAGAGUAGCACUCGCAUAUCAAUAAGCGGAGGAAAAGAAACUAACAAGGAUUCCCCUAGUAACGGCGAGUGAAGCGGGAAGAGCUCAAAUUUGAAAUCUUAAAGGGUUUCCCUUUACGAAUUGUAGUUUAAAGAAGUGUUUUCUGUUGAGGUUUUGGUAAAAGUUCUUUGGAAUAGGACAUCAUAGAGGGUGAGAAUCCCGUAUUUGACCUUUACUUUCAACUUUGUGAUACACUUUCAAAGAGUCGGAUUGUUUGGGAAUGCAGGUCCAAAAUGGGUGGUAAAUUUCAUCUAAAGCUAAAUAUUGGCGAGAGACCGAUAGCGAACAAGUACCGUGAGGGAAAGAUGAAAAGAACUUUGAAAAGAGAGUUAAACAGUACGUGAAAUUGUCAAAAGGGAAGCGUUUGACACCAGUGUUGUUUUUCUGAAAAUCAAUUAAAGAACUGUUUAUGCUAAGCUGUUUAGACUUUAUCAGCUAAUCUGUUUAGUUUUGAGCUUUCCUUUAAUGCACUUUUCAGUUAACAAGUCAACAUCAAUUUCUUUUGCUGUAAAAAAGCUUGAGGAAGGUGGCUUGAGAUUCGUCUUAAGUGUUUAUAGCCUCUUGCCUAUGCAGUCGGAGAGAUUGAGGUCUGCAGCGUAGAUCCUUCGGGGCUAAAUGCAUUUGUGCUAAGUUAUAGCAUUUUAUAGACAACUUGUUGACUAUGAUUUGUCUUGUAGCUUACUCGCUUAUGUUAUUUUACCUACGCUUAGGAUGUUGAUCUCUCACAGUCGAGC